Long non-coding RNA from Triticum dicoccoides, 897 nucleotides. RefSeq lists it as uncharacterized. The record is from RefSeq and is a predicted model, not a curated record. NCBI's taxonomy places the organism in Eukaryota, Viridiplantae, Streptophyta, Magnoliopsida, Poales, Poaceae. The transcript has 5 exons.
UAGCUAGCCUCAAUUACUCAAGGAUCUCCAAGCUGCAUGCCUCCAAUAAUGUUGCCGGUGUCAUGGCUCUCCACGGUGCUGAAAUUGUUGAGAGGAAUGUCCUGAAGAAACUCAGGUUGCAGUCAUGGGCCACACUAACUUAUGUCGGUUUCCAUGUAAGAAUUAUUACGUAUGGAUUGAACCAGUAAAUAGCCUGAAUCAGGGAAAAGGGCCAAAGUUGUAUUCCUGAAUCAGGCUCACAAUGAUCUUGCUUGCGUGGAAGGAACAUUCAUUCCUGCAAGAAUCGAUCGACUGCCAAGGAGGGUGAUGGAUUGACUUGCAACCAGUCCACGGAUUAUCUGAAGCCAUGCAAGGAAGAAGAAGCAGAAACACUGCCCAGGCUAGAAGAAGCGUAGCCUGCAGCUAGGUGGUACUAUCUGAAGCCCAUCAUCAGCCUUGUGAUGCCGCUCAGAAUAAAAUUGCUUCGAUGAGUACACCAUUCACAUUCACACCGUGCGUGCGAUGAAACAACCAGACUACAUCUUCUGAAGAAAUGAACACUUGUCAUGCUGUUAACUGAAGAAAUCGACACCCGGCGGUUGGCGCGGCGGCCUCGUCGUCGACCAUCUGAUCUUCAUCUAAUGGCAGCCUACCGCUUCGUCCCGAGUUACGACACACCACCGCCCUUCAUCGCGCAUCGAAUGGAUCUGAAGACUGGAGCCGUCACUAUUUGAAUUACCUUUCAUUGUUUCCUUGUUCACCAGCUUUACUUUAGCAUUGAAGUUACCUUUCACUGGUUGUAAUUGGUAAAAAUGCCUGAAUCUAUAUGAGAGCCUCGGAGCCUAUGUUCCUAUUACUUGGGGUAAACCCUAGUAAGACACCGUUUCCUGGGUGGUGUAAACAUGCAUCCUUAAUCCG